Long non-coding RNA from Prinia subflava (tawny-flanked prinia), 797 nucleotides. RefSeq lists it as uncharacterized. Lineage: Eukaryota; Metazoa; Chordata; Aves; Passeriformes; Cisticolidae. The record is from RefSeq and is a predicted model, not a curated record. The transcript is spliced from 3 exons.
GGAGGCCGGGGCUGGGCGCAGCGAGAGCCCGGCCGAGGGGCUGAGCCCGCGCCAAGCCUUCUCUGCUGCCGCUCUCUGCAGCUGGCAGAGGACAGGAGCCGAGCGGCCGAGCACCUGCGCCGGGUGCUGCCGUACCUGCAGAAGCCACAGGAGCCCCUGCGAGCGGCGGCCAUCAGGUUCAUGGGAAGGGUCUGGCGGCGCCAGAGGGGGCAGCAGGAAGAGCUCCAGGCCCUCAGGGAGGGCCUUCAAGCCCCAAGGAACAGUGCCAGCCCAUCCUGUUCGAUUACUGAAAAUCGUACCCAGUUUGCCCUAGGAGCUAAAGAAGUAGGGUUAUCUGCUGGAACCACUGAACCAUUGUCACAAGAACAACACCUGUAGUACAACCUCCCAGUGCUGCUGGAGCUCCAGGCACAGCUGAUGAUUGGCACAGCUGAGCCUGCGGGAAGCUCUCAGGGCUUCAACUCUCUCUUUGCCUGUAGAUAGUUCCCUCCCUCUAGCCCCCAGAGACUGUCCAUUCCCAUUUUACCCAUCACUCUCCAUCUCUUUUGACAGUUCCAUCUCAGGAGCCCUCAGACCAUGCCCAUCCCCUUUUUCCACCCCAUAUCAUCCCUUUUUUUUGCCUUCCAUUAAUAAACAGUUUGGCUUCUUCACUUGGCCUGCAUCUCUGUGGAGCUGAAGCAGCACAAAUCCAGGGUGCAGGGACACACAGGCCCCUCCUGCUGUUCUCUUCUGGGCCGUGUGCUGUACAGAGACCCAGAGGAAUGAGGGCAGAUCAGGCUGCAAAGGUCCCUGUGCUG